UAACCAAAUCAGUUGCACCCCUCCACCCC
Molecule: non-coding RNA, 29 nt
Filed under: Mus musculus (house mouse)
Lineage: Eukaryota; Metazoa; Chordata; Mammalia; Rodentia; Muridae
Source: RNAcentral